Molecule: ribosomal RNA, 253 nt
Filed under: Occallatibacter riparius
Lineage: Bacteria; Pseudomonadati; Acidobacteriota; Terriglobia; Terriglobales; Acidobacteriaceae
Also listed under: 2 other names
Description: partial 16S ribosomal RNA
Rfam family: Bacterial small subunit ribosomal RNA
Source: RNAcentral
UACGAGGGGGGCGAGCGUUGUUCGGAAUUAUUGGGCGUAAAGGGUGCGUAGGCGGUUUGGUAAGUCUGAUGUGAAAUCUAUGGGCUCAACUCAUAGUCUGCAUCGGAAACUGCCGGGCUUGAGUAUGGGAGAGGUGAGUGGAAUUCCUGGUGUAGCGGUGAAAUGCGUAGAUAUCAGGAGGAACACCUGUGGCGAAAGCGGCUCACUGGACCAUAACUGACGCUGAUGCACGAAAGCUAGGGGAGCAAACAGG